This 460-nucleotide ribosomal RNA is filed under the name uncultured bacterium. RNAcentral's name for it is "partial 16S ribosomal RNA". It matches the Rfam family "Bacterial small subunit ribosomal RNA", at positions 338 to 795 of the family's 1533-position model. The record is from RNAcentral.
CCUACGGGAGGCAGCAGUGAGGAAUAUUGGUCAAUGGCCGCGAGCCUGAACCAGCCAAGUCGCGUGAGGGAAGACGGCCCUACGGGUUGUAAACUUCUUUUGUCAGGGAGCAAGGUGCAGUCCGGGACCUGCUGUGUGAGUACCUUGCGACAAAGCAUCGGCUAACUCCGUGCCAGCAGCCGCGGUAAGACGGAGGGUGCGAGCGUUAUCCGGAUUUAUUGGGUUUAAAGGGAGCGUAGAUGGGUUGUUAAGUCAGUUGUGAAAGUUUGCGGCUCAACCGUAAAAUUGCAAUGGAUACUGGCAGUCUGGAGUACAGUUGAGGUAGGCGGAAUUCGUGGUGUAGCGGUGAAAUGCUUAGAUAUCACGAAGAACCCCGAUUGCGAAGGCAGCUUACUAAACUGUGACUGACAUUGAUGCUCGAAAGUGUGGGUAUCAAACAGGAUUAGAUACCCUAGUAGUC